This is a non-coding RNA of Styela clava, 2318 nucleotides long. NCBI's taxonomy places the organism in Eukaryota, Metazoa, Chordata, Ascidiacea, Stolidobranchia, Styelidae. The record is from RefSeq and is a predicted model, not a curated record.
AGCACUGAUUUCAUGUUUGCGAAUUUUUAGGUUUAAUGGUUUAUGCGCAUACUUGUGUCGCUAAUUUUUUCAUAAUCCAACGCUUGUAUCUUCAGCCAUUUUUCAUAGCUGUAGUAAUGCAGGUAAACUAAGCUUUGGCCUACAAUUAUUGAUUCAAAUAGCUACAAAGUGGAAUUGAGAUUACAAGAUCUGAAAUUUGUGAGAUAAUCUAAAUCGGCAAUGAUUAUUAGAGAUAAUUUCAUUCUUUCAGUUAGUUAGCCCAUAGCGUAAUACUAAAUGAUUCCUAGUGUAUAAUCAUUGAAUCAAAGACGACGGCGUAAACAAGUGGAGGCGAACGAGAACAAUGAAAUGUUCAAGUUAGAACAAGUAAGAAACCUAAAACCGUAUUCAAAUUUACGCUUUGGAUAUAUUCCAUAUAUACGAAUUGCCCUAUUCUUGCUUUUAGCUUGUGUUAGCUUUUAUUCAACCUAUAUAGUGCAUCUUAGUCAUGUUACAUAUUCCAGAUCGUGUUUAUGCAAACUGACUGAAUGUAAACAAGCUGCGAAUGUUGACAUCGGAAACUGCUUGAGCGGAACAAAAACUACGGUUAAACAAAUAUUUAUUAAAUUAUGGAUUACAGUUAGGCCAUAAUAUAGCACUAGACUGAAUUGAGAGUAUACUUGUGUUCAAUCAAAGACCCCUGGGAAGAUCUGCCUGUGCAAUGAUGUUAGGACCAUUUCAUAAAUAAGAUCUACAUCAUUGAUGAAUUAAAAACUCAACAGAGAUGCGGUUGUGUUGGGAUGUUCCGGAUAUAGUACAGGUGAUAUUUGCUUAUUUUUUUUUCAAAAUUAUUUCAACGGUCACUUCAUUUGUUGUUUAUAUCCAAACCUUUUUUGUCGUGUCAAGAAUUUACGUGAGCCCAAGUAGCGUUCUCUUUUUCCAAAUCUAUCACAGUUAUACUAAUGCAGUUAAACCUAAGUUUAAGCUACUGACUCGAAGACUCACGUCAGUUUAGUUGAAAAGAGGCGAUCAAGGAUUAAUAAGGUAACUGUUAAUUUAUUUACGUGGCAAUACAGUGUACAAUCUUGGUCAAACCAAGUGUUAGGAUUCCCCCAGUGUCAUUGUAUUGUCUUCUUAUAUUCCCUUGAAAAUGAAUCUGAUUACAUAUGGAGGUUUUAUACUACUGGGCUCUUGCGCUGAGAAACGUAUAUUUGUUGUAAGUGCAUUCAGAUUUACAUUUUGAAUAGUCUUCCAAUUAUUCGUCGUUUCGGCUGUUUGACAAAAUCAUUUAUUCUAACGGCAAUUAAUAAAUGAUUUGGCUUCAUUUACAGCUUUCUCGUUUCUUUGCAGGCAAUUUAUAUGCUUUUACAGUUAUAUGUUUACUUAUGCAGUUAGACUAAUAGUAGGCCUAAAAUUAUUGAUUGGGGUGGAAUUCGAUCACAAAUUUUGGAAUUGUUGGCAUCGGGAUCUGCUGGAGGAAAUGCGGUUGAAUGAACAUUUAUUCAGUUAAGUUAUGUCCUGGUUACGAGGAUAAGCGAAUAAGGUGAAAGCGAAUCUCACGAAUCAAGAGUUUGUUGAAGCAAGUGUAGAUAUAUUUGUCUUUCCAUAUUUAUCACAGUGGAGAGGAAAUUCGUAAGACGGCUUAUUACGUGGACAUCACGGCUUCUCGUCCGAUUUUGUCCGGAUUGCGGAACAAGUGGAUUGAGGCGACAACUGAUCUCACAUCUGUCUGUUCAAAUUAGCUGCAUUCUGGUUGGAAAGAUCAAAGGACAGUCGACAACCGGACACGUACGUUGAAGAACAUUUGAAUGAAUUGUCGUACCAUCUUUAAUAUAUAAACAAGUGUAUUUUAAUUUUUUAUAUAACCAUCUUUCUACCAGAGUUUGCGCAUAUCAAAGCUUGCCCCAGUAGUGGCGUAUCUGCGUGAAAUGGCGCCUAUGGAAAUGUUUAAAAUGCGCCCUCUUGAUCAAUCGUUCACUGAAAUUUUAAACUCUGGUUAUUGCUUUGGGAUUCUUUUACGUUAUUUAGGUAGUAUUUAUCAAAAUGAGGUUUCGCCGAUUGUGCGCCCUCCUCCAAAUGUGAGCCCAUUGCAGUGGCCCUCUUGCUAUAUAAGUAUGCCACUGAGCCCAGGUAUCGCCCAGAAAUUCACAAUUCUUCAUUUCGCGUCUGAUCGUGGCAGAAAAGCUUGAUAUCUCGAUGUUGCUAGCUUUUAAAAAAUCCGUCCCUGCAUUCCCAUUAAUAUCUCAACUUUAUCCACCUAUUCUCAUACUUUUAUUUUCCGAGGACUAGAUGUAGAUUUUUGUUCUAUUGCUUGAAGAAUAAUAAAAUGAUUGAGGCCA